GCAUUAGUGGGGUAGUGGUAACCUGGGUCGUUGCCAUUCUGUGGGGUUACGUUUGUGUCGACCCGCCGGGAGUUCGAUUCUCUCCUAAUGCA
This is a non-coding RNA of Mycena rebaudengoi, 92 nucleotides long. Lineage: Eukaryota; Fungi; Basidiomycota; Agaricomycetes; Agaricales; Mycenaceae. The record is from the annotation of a GenBank genome assembly.